Molecule: non-coding RNA, 85 nt
Filed under: unclassified sequences
Source: RNAcentral
UGUAAAUUGCCGCCGGGUAAGCUUUCGAGCAUUUAUUUCGUAUCGUUAGGCCUUAGAAGAUGCGAAAUCAAAUGCUUUCUUUAUU